Anolis carolinensis (green anole) is the source of this 764-nucleotide long non-coding RNA. RefSeq lists it as uncharacterized. The transcript is spliced from 4 exons. The record is from RefSeq and is a predicted model, not a curated record. Lineage: Eukaryota; Metazoa; Chordata; Lepidosauria; Squamata; Anolidae.
CUAGAAAUAGACAUGUAUAAUACACCCCAAUAAUAUCUUAUAUAGUAUACAAAUAUCAAGAUUCACAACAAAAAAACUUACAUGUCCUUGGAGGAUCCUUACAUGUAGUAUUCUACCUCAAGUUGCGAGCAUUCAGUAGUAGUUCUGUAAAGACUUAAGUAUUUUUUAUCCCAUUAUAAGAAACAGGUGAAAUCUAGCCUAUUGUUUAGGCCUUGUGGGGUUAAGGUCUUCAAUUUGUGAAUCCAAAAAGCCUCCCUGCAGAGGAGUAACUUCUUGAUGUCAGUGUCAAUUGAAGUCUGUAGUUUUUCUAGGGCAAGGGCUUUGAGAAGUAAGGCAACUUUCAAGCAAUGAGGCCCUUCUGUUUUAUUAUAAUUUUUUCAAUGCUCAUGGCUUCAUCAGGAUUUUCUACCAAUAUUCACAGGGCUAAGGACUGUAAGGUGGCUAAUGGCAUAUGCAGGCUUUCAACGUGCCUGCAUUAUCCUUGGGAACGCAUUGGAAAAUGUGGAGACAAAAGGGUUUGCUGCAUAAGGAAAACCACAGAGAAGCCAUAUCAUAAGGCUCCUUAGGACAUAUCAGAAUAAAUCAUGCUUUCAACACUGCUCUAAUGUGACUAAGUAGCAAGCCUGCACACCUGCUUCUGAAGAAAAAAGCGACCAAUGGGAGAAGAUGUGAACAAUGAUCUUGCUUUGUGUUUUUAAUAAAUGCUUUUAUUUGCUGGCCUUGAAAGGAACAGUAAGAUGAAUAAAGAAUAAUCAGCUCUGGCA